AGUGAACGCUGGCGGCAGGCCUAACACAUGCAAGUCGAACGGCAGCACAAGAGAGCUUGCUCUCUGGGUGGCGAGUGGCGGACGGGUGAGGAAUGCAUCGGAAUCUGCCCAUUUGUGGGGGAUAACCUCGGGAAACCGGGACUAAUACCGCAUACGACCUACGGGUGAAAGCGGGGGAUCUUCGGACCUUGCGCAGAUGGAUGAGCCGAUGCCGGAUUAGCUAGUUGGAGGGGUAAAGGCCCACCAAGGCGACGAUCCGUAGCUGGUCUGAGAGGAUGAUCAGCCACACUGGGACUGAGACACGGCCCAGACUCCUACGGGAGGCAGCAGUGGGGAAUAUUGGACAAUGGGCGCAAGCCUGAUCCAGCCAUGCCGCGUGUGUGAAGAAGGCCUUCGGGUUGUAAAGCACUUUUGUUGGGAAAGAAAAGCAGCCGGUUAAUACCCGGUUGUCAUGACGGUACCCAAAGAAUAAGCACCGGCUAACUUCGUG
Molecule: ribosomal RNA, 490 nt
Filed under: uncultured bacterium
Lineage: Bacteria
Description: partial 16S ribosomal RNA
Rfam family: Bacterial small subunit ribosomal RNA
Source: RNAcentral